UAACGGUUUGAGUUAUUCCGUUAUAUUUGUGCGUUAUCUAUUAGAUACAUACAUAACGGUAUUACAAAACCGUUAAGCCGACCGUUAUCUAUGAGCAUCUUUUUAUAGAAUUUUAAAAAUUAAAAGAAAAAAAAAAUCAAAAAAUUGGCUUCUUCUUCCCCAAAUUGGCUUCGACACCUCCACUUUCCCCAAAAACUUAAAGAAAAACAGGGCUUCUGCAAUUCUUCUUCUCCAUCCGCCUUCUUCUCCAUCCGCCUUCUUCUUCGCCUCUCCUCCCCCCAUCCGCCUUCUUCUUCCCCAAAUCGACCCCUCUGCCAUAUACCAACUCUGUUCGCCCCGAUUCUCCACCAAGUCCCGACUUCGAACCAUGCCGAUGCUCCAGCGCGGCGCACACUUCGGCGACCCGGAUCGACGCCUCCUUCACCAACUCCAGCGCGGCGCACGCUUCGGCGACCCGGAUCGAACCAAGUCCCAGCUUCGAACCCUAGGUUGUCGCAGGUUGCCUGUCAUCGAAGCCUCUCAGGAAAGCCAACUUUCCCCUCACGACCUAUCUCGAGCUCCUCUCUUUUUUCCCCAAAUUCAGAACCCUAGGUCGUUUGUCGCCACCUCCACCGCUUCCAUCGGUAGUCACCUCCCUCGCACUGAAAUACUCCGAUUUUAAUGGCAGCGACCCUCUCUCUCUCAGAUAAUAUGCACAAAUUGGGCACAACUUUAUCUUUCUAGGGUUCUAAAUUGCUCCGGUAACGACAGUUCUCUCCAACUCCAGUAAGUCCUGAACUCUGCACUUCUCUACUCUGGGUUCGAAUUUUUAAAUUCUCGAGCAAUUUUGUAAGUUAUGCAUACUUAGUAAGUUCUAGUUCUCUUCUUCGGAGAACGGGGUGUUGCAGUUGAUUGAUUCUUGUAGUCCGACUUAAUUCAAUUGCUUCUUGCACUGUAGUUAUUGAAUUCGCGGGGGAUUCUGAAUUCUUGAUUGCUCCGGGUCCGAAUUGUUAUGACAGUUUUCUUAGGUGGUAAGCUUUGCUUAAUUGAAUAUUAGGCAUGGUGGAUGCUCACAAUGAAAUCAUGUCUUGUAUUCCUGUGCUCUAAGACCUAAAUUUGAAACUGAUCGUGUAUUGUUAGGCUGAUGCUGGAGGUUCACCCUCACUUGUUGCUCGAGGAUUCAGCACUGUUCAGGCUGCUAGUGGUGGUGAGCAACUUGAAAUUCAAGUUCCAGUUGAAAGAAUUGUGUUGUUAUCAAAAAGCUUGAAGCAGCUUCAUCGAAGAUAUUUGGUGGGGAUAGAUCUAAGAUCAAGAAAAUUGAAGAGCUGCGAGACAAUAUCAGAGUAAUACAAACGAAUAAAGGGAUACACACAUAAGUUUGAGAUUGCAGAGACAUGUUUUGGAGAGAUGGGGAGCCAUUUAGGAUAAUUGGAGGAGACUUGCAUUAUUUCCGAGUGCAUCUUGAGGUUUGUGGUGGAUUAAAUGAGUCGUACGUUGAGCUGAAGAGGCUUGUGAAUUCACAAGAAAAGUUGUACCAUAUGGCUAGCUAGUUGCAUAUUUAAUAUGUUUAGUAUUUUUGUAAGGCAUAAUAGUAUAGAUAGAGCAGUUGUUGAAUUUUGACUAUAUUCAAAUCUUGUA
Salvia miltiorrhiza (redroot sage) is the source of this 1617-nucleotide long non-coding RNA. RefSeq lists it as uncharacterized. Lineage: Eukaryota; Viridiplantae; Streptophyta; Magnoliopsida; Lamiales; Lamiaceae. The transcript has 4 exons. The record is from RefSeq and is a predicted model, not a curated record.